This 637-nucleotide ribosomal RNA is filed under the name uncultured soil bacterium. RNAcentral describes it as "bacterial SSU rRNA". It matches the Rfam family "Bacterial small subunit ribosomal RNA", at positions 55 to 692 of the family's 1533-position model. The record is from RNAcentral.
AUGCAAGUCGAGCGAGAAGUUCCUUCGGGAAUGAGUACAGCGGCGGACGGGUGAGUAACACGUAAGAAUCUGCCCUGUAGUGAAGGAUACCUUCGAGAAAUUGAAGUUAAUACUGCAUAAGUCCUUCGGGAGAAAAGCGUCUUUUAUGUCGCUGCUACGGGAUGAGCUUGCGGACUAUCAGCUUGUUGGUGGGGUAAAGGCCUACCAAGGCUAUGACGGUUAACCGGCCUGAGAGGGUGUACGGUCACACAGGCACUGAGAUACGGGCCUGACUCCUACGGGAGGCAGCAGUGGGGAAUAUUGCGCAAUGGGCGAAAGCCUGACGCAGCGACGCCGCGUGGAGGAUGAAGGUCUUCGGAUUGUAAACUCCUGUCAGGUGGGAAGAAAAGAUUUAUUUUUAAUAGAGAUAGAUUAUGACGGUACCAUCAGAGGAAGCACCGGCUAACUUCGUGCCAGCAGCCGCGGUAAUACGAAGGGUGCAAGCGUUAUUCGGAAUCACUGGGCGUAAAGGGUGCGUAGGCGGUAUGUUAAGUUUGUCGUUAAAGACUCUAGCCUAACUGGAGGGUUGCGAUGAAAACUGGCGUGCUAGAGGAUGAGAGAGAGAAGUGGAAUUCCUGGAGUAGCGGUAAAAUGCGUG